GAUGAACGCUGGCGGCGUGCUUAACACAUGCAAGUCGAACGAAGCACAUUUAAUUCUUCGGAAGAGGAAGUGACUGAGUGGCGGACGGGUGAGUAACGCGUGGGUAACCUGCCUUAUACAGGGGGAUAACAGUUAGAAAUGACUGCUAAUACCGCAUAAGCCGAUAGAGUCGCAUGACUUAGUCGGAAAAGAUUUAUCGGUAUAAGAUGGACCCGCGUCUGAUUAGCUAGUUGGUGAGGUAAUGGCCCACCAAGGCGACGAUCAGUAGCCGGCUUGAGAGAGUGAACGGCCACAUUGGGACUGAGACACGGCCCAAACUCCUACGGGAGGCAGCAGUGGGGAAUAUUGCACAAUGGUGGAAACCCUGAUGCAGCAACGCCGCGUGAAGGAAGAAGUAUUUCGGUAUGUAAACUUCUAUCAGCAGGGAAGAAAAUGACGGUACCUGACUAAGAAGCCCCGGCUAACUACGUGCCAGCCGCCGCGGUAA
Molecule: ribosomal RNA, 487 nt
Filed under: uncultured bacterium
Lineage: Bacteria
Description: partial 16S ribosomal RNA
Rfam family: Bacterial small subunit ribosomal RNA
Source: RNAcentral